RNAcentral lists this ribosomal RNA (365 nucleotides) under uncultured archaeon. RNAcentral's name for it is "bacterial SSU rRNA". It matches the Rfam family "Archaeal small subunit ribosomal RNA", at positions 348 to 713 of the family's 1478-position model. The record is from RNAcentral.
CUCUACAAUGCGGGAAACCGUGAUAAGGGACACCGAGUGCCAGCAUCAUACGUUGGCUGUCCAGAUGUGUAAAAUACAUCUGUUAGCAAGGGCCGGGCAAGACCGGUGCCAGCCGCCGCGGUAACACCGGCGGCCCGAGUGGUGAUCGUGAUUAUUGGGUCUAAAGGGUCCGUAGCCGGUUUGGUCAGUCCUCCGGGAAAUCUGACGGCUCAACCGUUAGGCUUUCGGUGGAUACUGCCAGACUUGGAACCGGGAGAGGUAAGAGGUACUACGAGGGGUAGGAGUGAAAUCUUGUAAUCCUUGAAGGACCACCAGUGGCGAAGGCGUCUCACCAGAACGGACCUGACGGCAAGGGACGAAAGCUA